UUGUGGAUUAUUUUAAAAAGAACUUUGUGUUUCACAUAGGAAAUGAAGAAGUUUCUGCAUGAGGAUCGGUGUACCAGGGGGAUAAAAUUUCCAGAUGCAAUACUUUAGUAACAGUCUUGUUCUCAAAUGUCACCAAUACCCAGAGUCUUAUCACGCUGUCCUCCCACUGGCUUCUGAGUGUCACUGGGAAUUGUGUAUGCUUUUGUUGUUUCUUUUUUCGUUAUACAAUUCCCUUUUCUUAAAAACUCUACUGAGAUUUCAGCUUACAUUCCAGUUAGCAUUUUUCUCUUUAUUUUCUCUUCUGCUCUCACAGUGGUUCUUGAUCAGGAUUUCCACCACUUCAUUCAACCACUUUACCAUUUACUCACUUCUUUGAAUCUGCAUCUUUCACUCUUUUCCUCCACACAGGAGAACAUUUUCUGACGUGCUUUUGAAGUUAGUCUUUCUUCACUAGAAAAUACUCCUUCCAUUCAGUUUGGUCAUCUGUUUAGCUAAAUAAUUAUCUUCUCACCUAGUUUAAAUCUCUGUAGUCCCAUUCAAUUUUCUGGCCAUUGCCUCAGACUUCAAACUCUUCUCUUGCCUUCUGCCUCCCCUCCUCCCUCCAAUCUUCCCUCCCUUUCUCUAUUCCUCCCUCUCUCUCUUGCUUUCCUCCCUCCCCGUAUGGACUGUUGAUAAGUAGCAUGAAUUUCAAUUUCUUCUCAUUUUUCUUUCCUUCCCUGUUUUCCUUCUGAAAUACAAUUAUCCCUCUUUCUUACUGCUGAUCUUACCACUUUCUACAAGUUUCCUCCAAUAUUUCCUCUUCUAUUUUUGAUCUUAAUCUCUGAUCUUUUCUAUAUUAUUCUUCCCCUCACCUUUCUCUCACUUUCUCAUUGCUGUAAACUCUUCCAUUCUCCAUAUAACUUCUCACUACUUUCUGGAUCUAUUACUUCAAAAUAAUAGCAUGGCAGUUCUUGUACUUUUAAAAAAUCCUCACCUCAUUUAUUGCACAAUCCUGUCCCUCCCUUUUACUUCAAGCUUAUUAAACACAGGAUUUUAUACUGCAGUCUGGAUUUCCCACCUAUUUAUACUUUACUUCUUCUUGGCAGUACAAGGGAACAGCUUUUUUUCCGCAAUCUUUAGUUACAUUUUAGCAAAAUCUGAAACUUCUCAAAUACAUCUUCAUCUUCUGUGACCUCUACACUGCCUUUUAUUUUGUUUGAAACGUUUUCUGUCUUUGCUUCGGCGACUGAUCUCACCCAUGUCUUUCUUCCUAUCUGUCUAAUCAUUCAUUUGACUUAUAUUUUACAAGCCUUUCUGUAUCUCUGCUUCCUGUGUGUGUCCGUAAGGUCAUGUCCUCCAUUCUCUUCUUUUAUUUAAACUUUAUCUCUAAAUAACCUUAUUUGUGUAUCUAACAUCUUUGUUCAUCUCUCAUCUUUGUGCCUACCUUUAGAUAUAGGUUUCUGUGCCAGUAGAGAGCUUACCAUCUGUGCAAACUAAAACUUAACAAAAUGAUGGCCUCAGUCAAAAGGCUAAGAGUGCUCCAGUGAGUUUUUUGGUGUACAGAUGCACUCAGUCCGGAAGAAAAAAAAUCCAUCAACAUGCAAACAUGUUUUCACUUGGGUAAAAACAAUAGCAAAUAACAGAGCAUUUAUUACAUAAGUUUCUUAGUUUAUGUAGGUCUUCAAGUACUGAUAUUCUGGUAAGGAGCUUAAUUUACAACUGGCACUGCACUGUAUGUUGUCAAAAGAAUGAAAAGAAGGCAAGUUUACCACAGGAGUUGUUAGUUGUCAUGGUGUGAUACUCUCGAUGGACUAUUUUCAAAAACUGAUUAAAUUCUCACAUGAAUAUGUGAGAAGGCAAGCUCUCCUCAGCUCUUAUUCAGAGAUAUUCACAGAAUUCAGUGAGUAGGAUUAGUUGGUUGUGAGACCAUAUACAGAGGGAUGGCUGUUCAACUUUUACAGAUAUUCUGAUAGCUUCUUCAAGAGUAUAACUAUAUGAAAUAAAUGGGGGAUUAACCUGAUAACCAAUUUUACCUUCUGAAGAAAUCUGCUUUUUAUUUAGAACAGUGGAUAUUGAUGGCUUCCAUUAAAAUCAGAGACACCAUACAAACACUCCAUACAAAUGGAGCCUUUCUUUGGUUUAUCGAAUUAAGAACCAUGAAUCAUGGAGUUUCAAUCAACAAUUCACAAGUCAGGAAGUAUAAGCAUCACAGCCCUGUCAUAUAUUUUAUUUAGUAGUGAAAGGAGAUAGCACUUUUAGGUUACAUAUUCAUGAUUUUUAUCACUGUUAAUUUCUUAGUACUCUCAGAUACACUAAUUAUCAGAGCUCUUUUGCUCAAUUUAUGUGUGAUACCUGGUAUUUCAGUGUCCAGAGUUAAGCUGGAUGCUUCAGAGAAGGCUCUGAAACAUAUAUCUCAUCUACAAAAAACUGACAGCACAGAGCAGAUGGAAGGCAAAUAUAUACAGUAACAGAGUGACACAGUAAGUUAGCUUUGGCAUGUGAAUAUGUUUGCUGGUUCGUGAAUUUUCUUCCUCUUUUUCUCUGCUGAUAAAAAAAGAUGAAACUGUGAUAGUAAUGGAAAAAGAAACUUGUUUUCUUAGCAAGUCCACAGUGUUUAGAUAGGUAAUAAUUUAUCUCUGAAGAUUUUGGAACAACGUUCAUUUUCUGAAAAUGACACACUAAAUACAACUUUUAAUGUCCAAUUUUUCCCCCUUAAGUUCAGAAUAAUUACUGAUGAUGGUUUAGGUGAGAGUCCAGGACUGCUGAGAGAAAUUAGCAAGCUUUUAGUAGGCAUAGUGCUGUGUAAAUUCAUUUAGCUAUUACUAACUAAGGAAGGUUUUGACAUAAAUGUUUAAAUCAAACCCCACAAAGUUUAAUCAGGAAGCAGUGGAAACCAAAACCACUCAACUUAAGAACUGCUAGCUCAAGAACUAAAACAAUACCUGCAAUUUUUUUUUUUUAAGUGUGUGCCCAUGAAGUGCAAUUAAUAGUGUUAGCUUCAGAUUUAAUACUGGUAAGGUCAGAGGAAAAGAAAACCCAAAAACCUGAGGAUUAAAACAGACUAGAAUAGAGUCUAAACCAUGAAGAAUGACAAACAUAAUAGAGGCAAACCUUAAUAGAGGUUCCAUAAAAAGAUUGGGCUCAACAAACACCAGCUGUUCAGAAUAAAAUGCUAAUAUUAGUUUAACUACUUUAACAUCAGGUCCCUGCUAAUGAUGUCCUCAGCUUGUACUGAAAUCACGAAGAAUCAAAGACUAUUCAAAAUGAAUUCUAAUGUGAAGACAUUUAUUUCUUAGUGCCUUUUGUCAGGAAAGAAAUAACAUGGAUAUAAAAUCUUAAAUACAAAUGUGUAUCAUCUGUAUUAGUAAAUUCUAUUGCAGCUUUACUGUGGCAUUAUUUUUGGCCCCAAACAUUUAUUCUGUUGCCCCAAAAUUGCAAGUGUUGAACUAUCUUCUGAAAGAAUGUACUGUCAGAGUGGUCAUCAAGUACUGUUAACUUCUUCCUACAGGAGAUAUUUAAAUAUUUAUGAUUGCUUUUACUGGAAACUCAUGCUUAAAAGCUAGAUAUGUCUUACUGUAACCUGGUUUAUAUUUCUACUGAAACUCUGCUUUUGAGAAUUGUUCCCAUGUGGCAGCUUUAGAACAUGGAUGACAAGCUUGUAAUGGAGUCUUACUUUGUGCGUGCCUGUAAUGAAAGCUGAUCAAGGGAACUGCAAAGAAGGAUAUUUGUUUCGCUUUUGCCAUCAGUGUGUAUACAUUAUGUGCUUAUGAAUGUAUUUCUGAACACUUAGGUGAUGAUCUCAAACAAGCAGAUACUGAAGCCCACGGUCAGAUGGUGCCUAGUCCCUUCCUUUAUAAAGUUUUUUUUUCUCAGUGAUCUCUGACAGCUGCUGGAAAAGGGCUGCAGUCUGUAUAGAGGACAAAUCUGGAGGGAGAACAUGAAACCCCUGGGGCAUUUCCAAAGGCGGAACACAAGCUGAGUUUUAAGAAAAAUCCUAAUGCAGAAAACAAUCCACACUUCAGUGAAGUGGAGAUCAGACAGAUAUUUAAGCACACCUGAAGCCUUUGGCAGGAAUAUAUGGAAUGCUCUGUAUCAUUGGCUGCCUGACAUCCUUCCUAUCCCUGCAAGAGGAGAAACAUGGAGAGCUGCAGCCUGGGGAAGCCCACGUGCAAUCACCUGGGGAAGGACAGCAUCCCAUGGGAGGGAUCCCAUGCAGAGCAGGGGCAGAGAGUGGCCAUGGAGGAGCAGCAAUGGAGGAGCAGCAAUGGAGGAGCAGCAAUGGAGGAGCAGCAGAGUUUAAGAUUUAUGGGCUGACUGCAGCCCCACAUUCUCCAUUUACCUGCACCAAAGUGGGAGAAUGAGUGAAAGUCAGUGAACUAUGACCGUGGAAUUCAUAUGGUGAAAAGCAAGAAAACAACAGUUCAGUACAUCUUUCCAGGAGAAAGAAGACCUGGUCAGAAGAUUUGUUAUUGACUUGUUCUGUGAUCACAGUUCCAUGGUCUUUUUCAGACAAACAUGUAAAACAAGUAUCUUUGUAGGUUAGGGUUAAAACUAAAUCUGUAGCAUAUCUGCAAAUGUACUUCCACAGUAAACCUGCAGAAUUUAUUUAACACAGCUCACAGGAGAAGAACAAGCUGAAUUCACAAUGUCUCAAAAGCUUAGCUUAGGGAGAUGAAUAGACAGUGCUAAGACUCAAAGAAGGUAUUUUAUCAUACACUUCAAAGCCUGAAGUCUGAGACAGCUUCACUCUCAAAUCACUCUCAGCUCUUGCUGUCAUGUCAGAAUAGGAUGACUUAGAGUAUACUGUGAAAAAUGUUCCCCUUCACUACCAUUUUCAUUCCACUGCACUGAGAAAUACUGUGAUUUUAGGUCUGUUAAUAGAAAAUCCUCUUAUAUGAAAUCUCGCUUCAAAAAUUCCUUCAAUAGAAAAAUAAAUGACUGCCACUUAUUUAGUGACCUAAUAUUUAGAGUAAAGGCUACACUGUAACACAUCACAGCCAUCUAAAAAAGAUAUGUACAGAUACUGGAUUUCAGCAGACCACCAUUUCCUGCAGUUAUUUAUUAAUAUUAAUUUUGAACAGAAGUGAGCUUUGUAAAAGCCUCUUACCAAGGAAGCAGCAGCUGGUUAUAGAGGAAGUAUAACUUUGCUGAUAUGCAUAAGCUGGGCAGACUAAUAGACCAUGUUAUUGAUGAAAGGAAAGCUGGUUCAUGCUGUUGGCUGGCUGCACAGGAGUUCCAUUUCAUUCCUUCCCCCAAGUUCAUGUCAGCUUUUGGCUGGAGAUUGGGACACUGUGUAACAGUUCUUCGAAACCUUACCUUUUGUUUUUGUUCUUUUAUACUGAGCCUCUGAGACAUAAAAACUGUAUGAAUUUUUUUUUUUUCUGAGAUCUCCUAUAUAACAGACUGAAGCCCAGCUGACUCAGAAACACCAAAAUUACCUUUAGCACCAUCUUGACUGUCCUUGAACAAAUCCGUUUAGAAUGUAGGAGUAUUUACCUUCCUGAUCAUAGAGUAGGAAAAGAGCAAAAUGAGACUCUUUGGGCCCUAUCCCUUCCCUCUAGCAAUGCCCGGUUAGUAAUCUCUAGAAAUCAUGACCCUCACUGGCAGGAUGAAGGUUUUUCUGUCCUCCCAGUACUUCUUAAGUUCUUUUCCUUCACUAAGUGAAAAAAACAAAAACAAAAACAAAAAACCUACAGUGGUGGUUAUCAGGAAUUAAGAAGAACAAAUGCAUUAAAAAAAAAGGAAAAAUAUAUUAUUACGAGUGUACUGCAGAGAAGUCUAUUAAAAUCCAGACAAAUAUGGCUACGAUAAAUGUAAAAGUAACUUCGAUGACAAAAAUUCAAGAAAUAUUUUAUGUACAGUACCAUGUGGAAAACUGCUAUGAUAAUUAACAAUCAAAUUCCCAGAAAUGUGUAUACAGUAGAUGUUAUCCUUAAAUAAACAUGAAUCAGUUCAAAAUCUUUCUUUCAAGUAUUUCCUGUACAACUGCACCAAAAACUUGUCUUUUCCUUUCCAUCUCAAAUAAUCAAAGAAAAUUUUGCAAUUUUGAAUUUGUGAUGUAGUCAGUUUGCAAUGGACGAAAUAAUCACGACCAUAAUGUGUGUCUCUGCAGUGAAUUGUGGUAGCACAUUAAAUCAAUUUGAAGCAUGCUACUCUGAAUAAAAUGUGUGAAAAUUCUGUUAAAUCAUGUACAGAUUUUCAGUACAGUUACAAAUUUUUCUUCCUGCAGUAGUGACAAGAAGUGUCUCUUUCAUAGUUCUUGGCAUUCCAAUAGAUGGUUGGAAUGUAAUUUCUAUUAAAAAAUAAUACAUUAUUAAUUUCAGAAUUCUACUCUAAUGCACAUACUUAGGUUUUGCAUACAUUUGGACUCUGGAUUCUGUGCAAUAAAAUAGGACUCCUGUUUUUGCAUCUGGAUUAACAGUAUCCUGUUAUUGAAUUUUUUUGUAUUUGUGCUCUCAUAAUUUUUGUGGUGGAUAAAAUAUUUCCUGCUAUGAUGGUGAUAAGACUCUGGAAAUGUUUUCCUAGAGAAUUUUUUGAUGGCCUAUCUCUGGAGGCGUUCAAGGUCAGAUUGGAUGGAACCUUGGACAGUCUGGUCUAGUAGAAGGUGUUCCUGCUCUGUUUCUAGACCUUAGCAAUAUUUUAACAGUACCCUGCCUUUUUCACUAGUUAUUGCUUCACUCUGAAGAUUCACAUCACUUCUUAGGACUGCCUAAUUCUGCCUUGCAACGGUCCAAAAGGGACAUGGCUAGAUUAGUCUGAGACAUCACUCAUAGAGCAGUAAAUCAAUCACUCAGAAGUUAUAUAGAUUCUAAGAUUUCUGCUGAUGAGCAUAGAAUAUCAUUUCGGCAUUUGUACCUCUUAAUCAUUUCCAAAUUAUCAGCACGUCUAGUUAUUCAUUAGCAUAUUUUGACAACAACAUGAAUUCUGCUUAAUUUGUCCAUAGAAAAAUUACUAAAUGAUUUGACAUUACAGACAAUUACAUUUUUAAUGGAAUGCAGAGAUCCAUUAAGAGCAUUCACUUUUCAGGGAUUUGCUAGGAACGUGAUUUAUAGUUCAAGGAUCCAAAUGUACAUGUACCAAAUGUGGUAACAUGUAAUAACAAGAUAAUUUGCUCUCAAAAGAAUUCAUAAUUUGAAUUUAAAUUGGUGAAUAAAACAGCACAGGAAACAACUAGCAUUAUGUUCAACAUUGCUGAAAACCAAAGAAUUCCUGCAUGGAGGACAGGCAGAAUAAUACUAUCUAGAUAUGUCUAUCACGUAGAUAUAUACAUACACAAUUUGAAUAAGAAUACCUUGAGUCCAAAGACUCUAUGCAUUCUCAUCUUGAUUUUUCUUACCAAAUUUUCUUCUAGUUUUCUUGUCUUUUGGCCUCAAACAACUAGCUAGAAGAGAGUAAACACUAAACUGCUUCCUUUAUAAUUCAGUACUGGCAAUUGAAGGUGGUGAAAAUUUGUUAUAUUCCAUUACUGUAAACAACAACAGUAAGUAUUUUGUAGAAAGCCAAUAAUCAGAUAAUUAGUAAGAAGGCAGUAGAGUUAUUUCACAUUUUCUGAGCUUAAUGUUAUACAUCCCCACUCACAUGACAUGACUUCAUAAAAGUUAAUCAAUCACAAUAACAAGCAUUAGUAAAAGUUAGUUAAUUGUAUAUGUCUACCCACAAUUCUAGCACUGCCUCCUGAACUAUGACAUUGUGGAUCCUCAAGGUUUGUCAGGUACAUGCUGGGAAAAAGCAAUGAUGUUAACAGUUUUUCAAAUUCACGUCAAAAUAGAAUGUUUUCUGGAGUUUGGGGCCAUUCUUGAGACAUUUGUUUGAGAGGAACAUGUAAAAAACAUGCCCAGCUCUAUCAUUGAUGUUCACCUCAAAAAUCAGUAGAUACAUAAACAUAACCACUGGUGUCUGUAGGAGCAACAAGCAUUUUGAAAAAGAGGUUAAUCCCAUUUUAAAAUAGAUUUCUAAUUAAACGAUGGAAUGAGUCACCCAUUUAAAUCUCUUUAUAUCAAUGAAUAAGAGGAUGAGGGAGAUGACUAGUUUAAGAUCAUGAGGUUUACCUGGAAAAAGCACAGCAGUAUUUCACAGUUAAUGUGGAAAAAGCAGAAGUAAUGGAUUGUUUGCAGUUAGCAAGUAAGGCUUUAAACAAACAUAUAUCUUGAAUUUUGGUCAGCUAGUAUUCUAGCUUUUCUCCUUUUGAAGUUCUUUUUCAUUUAUUGCUUUUUGUUUUAAUAUGAAAAAAAAAAAGCUUUCAACGGUAAAAUAGAAAUGAACUGUGCUGAUUUUAUACACAGAGGGGCUCUGUGCAUCAGUGCUGCAUGCACUAAUAAUCUAGGACAGCUCAUGUAUCUGGUAUCAGACACGGACUGGUGGACCAUAUCUAUCACUAAAUGUUGAUUGUUGGAUUUGGCUUUAAUUUCUUUGUAAAACAUUUUUUUUUUUCUUUUUUUUAUUUCUCCCACCACACAGUCUGGCUUCUAGAAAAUUAUCUAAGGAAUACCAAAAUGAAAGAAUACUUACAGUUGGUUCGUCCAUGGUAAAUCUCUUGUUGCAUUAGUAGCUUGUUCAGUGUUGAAGCAUACGAUGCAGCAAAAGGGAGCAGCUCAUUCAUCUCACUUGUUGUGAAUUGUAUUAUUGGCUGCUGAAUUAGGAAGACCUUUUCAACCAUGCUGUACCACCAAGAUUCAUACCAAAUAGAGAUUAUUUGUACAUCAGAGUAUGUCUAUUAAUUUAUUUAAACUUAGAAUGAAUUCUGCAUUUGACCUGUCAUUCUGCAUUUGACACUGUAUGCUAAUAAAAUAAAAUAAAAAAUCA
Long non-coding RNA from Phasianus colchicus (ring-necked pheasant), 8781 nucleotides. RefSeq lists it as uncharacterized. The record is from RefSeq and is a predicted model, not a curated record. Lineage: Eukaryota; Metazoa; Chordata; Aves; Galliformes; Phasianidae.